AGUGAACGCUGGCGGUAGGCCUAACACGUGCAAGUCGAACGGCAGCACAGUAAGAGCUUGCUCUUACGGGUGGCGAGUGGCGGACGGGUGAGGAAUACAUCGGAAUCUACUUUUUCGUGGGGGAUAACGUAGGGAAACUUACGCUAAUAUCGCAUACGACCUACGGGUGAAAGCAGGGGAUCUUCGGACCUUGCGCGAUUGAAUGAGCCGAUGUCGGAUUAGCUAGUUGGCGGGGUAAAGGCCCACCAAGGCGGCGAUCCGUAGCUGGUCUGAGAGGAUGAUCAGCCACACUGGAACUGAAACACGGUCCAGACUCCUGCGGGAGGCAGCAGUGGGGAAUAUUGGGCAGUAGGCGCGAGCAUGAUCCAGCCAUACCACGUGGGUGGAGAAGGCCUUCGGGUUGUAAAGCCCUUUUGUUGGGAAAGAAAAGCAGCAGGUUAAUACCCCGCUGUUCUGACGGUACCCAAAGAAUAAGCACCGGCUAACUUCGUG
RNAcentral lists this ribosomal RNA (492 nucleotides) under uncultured bacterium. RNAcentral describes it as "partial 16S ribosomal RNA". It matches the Rfam family "Bacterial small subunit ribosomal RNA", at positions 29 to 507 of the family's 1533-position model. The record is from RNAcentral.